CCCUGCCAUUUGUACACACCGCCCGUCGCUACUACCGAUUGAAUGGUUUAGUGAGAUCUCGGGACUGGCGGACUCGAGCUGGCAACAGUUCUUUUCUGCCGGGAACCUGCUCAAACUUGAUCAUUUAG
This 128-nucleotide ribosomal RNA is filed under the name uncultured eukaryote. Its description in RNAcentral is "partial small subunit ribosomal RNA". It matches the Rfam family "Eukaryotic small subunit ribosomal RNA", at positions 1651 to 1776 of the family's 1831-position model. The record is from RNAcentral.